AAUUUAAUAAAUAUUUUUUGAAUUAAAUAUUUCACGUUUUAUCCAAUACACGGAAGUGUUCGCUUAGCUCUCUACCAAACUGCUUCUCCGAAACCAUUUUAACUAAAAAAAAAUCAGCAAGCAUUGAUUCCACUGGAACCCGCUUUUCUCUGCUUAUUCCCUUUCCUUUCUCUUCGUCAUUAUCACAAUUCUCUUUUCCUUCUUCCUCAACUUUGCUUCGCUUCACCCAUCUCUAUGGAGACAACUACUUCCGUACCUAACCCUCCACGCCGCUCGUUCCGCUGCUCCUUCGUCACACGCUGUUGUCGCUGCUUCUGCUGCUUCUACUCCUUCCCUUAAGCAUAUGUAUCAUCUUCUCGGGGUGCCACACCUUGAAAUCCACGUCGCCAUGGAGAGGGAAGAGCAGAGACAGUUCAAGGUUCGCAGUUUUUUGGUUUUUUUAUUUUUGAAAUUAGGGUUUUCGAUUGGGAUUCUUGUUGUUUUCGGAUUUUUCUCUCUAAUCUCUUCGAUUAGGAUGAUCUUGUUAGGGUGUUUAAUUAGCUUAGAUACUGGUCAGGUCAGGUCUUGCAAAAUUGUUGAUUGAAUAAUCGCAUGUGUUUGACCUUGUCGUAUAAUAUAAUUGUUGACUUAAUGUAAAAACAAAUUACAAAUUAACUUCAGCUAGUUUUAAUUUUUAGAUAAUUUUUUUUUCUUAAGUUCUUCAUCCAUAAGUGUUUUUUAUGUGUGUAUCCAACAGAUAAUUUUUCUAAUCAGCAAUAUAAAUUUAAUUCAAAGAGUGAACGUGCAUUUUAUUUGGAUAAUGAAGUUACUGUAUUGAAAAAAAUUCUCUCUCGUACUCUAGCGAGAUAUGGAAAUUCUCUCUCAUAGAUUUUUUUAAUUUAGUUCUUGAAAUAUUUAUUUGUUUUUAUAUAAUUUAUUUAUGAGUAUUUGACAUUUAAUACAUGAAUAUAUAAUUUUUUUUAUUUAUAUAUACGUAUGAAUGCCUUAGUUAUAUACUUAUAAGUCAAGUUUACGUAUCUAUUAUUAAAUACUCUAAGAUUUAUAUGCAAACAAAUAAUUUUUUUAAAAUAAUUAAUUUAUAUAAAAACUUCAAUCAAAAGUUUUUCAGUAAAUACACUUACUUUUAGGAAUCAAUUUGAGAAUUACUUUAUCUAUUGAAUAAUUGAUGUCGAUUUGAUGUCAAUAUGCCUUAGUCAUAUUUAUUAUUGGUGAUAAUGUAUUUUUCAGUUAAUUAUUCGGAUACAAAAUUGUUUUUAAUUAAUUUGUUUGUUAUUCCUAUAUAAUUCUUUCGGUCAUCGACAAAUAUAAUAUUUUAUUCUUGUUUUUUUUUUAUGUAUUUAAUUUUUAUGUGCUCUGCGAAUGAAAACAUUUCAAUGCCAAUACAGAUGCCAUUUUGCAAGAGGCAUUUAACCUCGAGUUUUUACCAAUUCCACCCAUCUUCCUUCUCUUGCACAUGUUGAAGAGAUGUCAAUACCAACAAAACAUUGUCACACCACUGAAGAAUCGAAUACCUCAUAUGUCCUGAUUCUCUUAGUGGCAGUAGAGGUUGAGGAUGCAAUAGCAUUUGAUGUAAAAAGUGGAUUCUAACAAUGGCUAGCAAUUUGUAAUUAAUUUCAAAUUAUGAUUUUAUUUUUAUUUUUAACUAUUUCUUGAUAAAUAUUUUUGAAAUUGUAUAUUUUUUUUUAUCAUGCAAUGAUUAUAUUUAUAUUGAUGUAAACAAUUUUAUCUUCAAUUAAAACUAUAAAUAUUAAAUGAAUUUUAUGAAGUAGAAAUAAGUGUAAGGAAUGAAAGAAAUUAAAAGGAAAGAAAAGACCUUGAGUAAAAAGAAAGAAGAAAGAAGGGAUAGAAGGUUGAAGAGAGAAGGUAUAGAAGGUUGAAGAGAUAUAUUAAGAUAAUUGAUUUCAUUGAUAAUCAUAGUUACAAGAAAAC
RNAcentral lists this long non-coding RNA (1929 nucleotides) under Phaseolus vulgaris (common bean). RNAcentral's name for it is "long non-coding RNA (PVUL_LNC001764)". The record is from RNAcentral. Lineage: Eukaryota; Viridiplantae; Streptophyta; Magnoliopsida; Fabales; Fabaceae.